GCCCGUUUAGCCUAGUGGUGAAGCGUCGUCAGUCUUGUAAAUUGAAGGUCGGCGGUCCGAUCUCGGCAUCCGGUU
This 75-nucleotide transfer RNA is filed under the name Perkinsus olseni. RNAcentral's name for it is "tRNA-Thr". The record is from RNAcentral. Lineage: Eukaryota; Perkinsozoa; Perkinsida; Perkinsidae.